This 444-nucleotide ribosomal RNA is filed under the name uncultured bacterium. RNAcentral's name for it is "bacterial SSU rRNA". It matches the Rfam family "Bacterial small subunit ribosomal RNA", at positions 354 to 796 of the family's 1533-position model. The record is from RNAcentral.
GUGAGGAAUAUUGGUCAAUGGGCGCGAGCCUGAACCAGCCAAGUCGCGUGAGGGAAGACGGCCCUACGGGUUGUAAACCUCUUUUGCCGGGGAGCAACGCUGCGGACGUGUCCGCAGGUGAGAGUACCCGGAGAAAAAGCAUCGGCUAACUCCGUGCCAGCAGCCGCGGUAAUACGGAGGAUGCGAGCGUUAUCCGGAUUUAUUGGGUUUAAAGGGUGCGUAGGCCGGCUGUCAAGUCAGCGGUAAAAAUUCGGGGCUCAACCCCGUAAAGCCGUUGAAACUGGCGGUCUUGAGUAGCGGCGAGGCAUGCGGAAUGCGAGGUGUAGCGGUGAAAUGCAUAGAUAUCACGCAGAACUCCGAUUGCGAAGGCAGCAUGCCAGCCGCCGACUGACGCUGAGGCACGAAAGUGCGGGUAUCGAACAGGAUUAGAAACCCUAGUAGUCC